GUGGCACAAACAGUUUGUGCUUGACUGCUAAUCAAAAGGUUGGUGGUUCAAACCCACCC
RNAcentral lists this transfer RNA (59 nucleotides) under Loxodonta africana (African savanna elephant). Lineage: Eukaryota; Metazoa; Chordata; Mammalia; Proboscidea; Elephantidae. The record is from Rfam by way of RNAcentral.